RNAcentral lists this long non-coding RNA (211 nucleotides) under Mytilus galloprovincialis (Mediterranean mussel). Lineage: Eukaryota; Metazoa; Mollusca; Bivalvia; Mytilida; Mytilidae. The record is from RNAcentral.
GCUUUUUAACUAACUUUGUUGGUUUUUUGUCCUUAUUUAAUUCCCCAUUCUCGAUUCCAGACUAAGUUAACUCUCACAUAAAUGAUAUGAUAUUAUACGUAAAUGUACGAAAGCUUGGAUCCUCGAAUACGGAAAACCGGAAAUCUUUUCACCGUGGUCGUUUUUGUAUAAUAUGACGCGAAAGGACGCUCGUCUGCUGAUGUUUGAAAUG